UGGGGAAUAUUGGACAAUGGGCGCAAGCCUGAUCCAGCCAUGCCGCGUGUGUGAAGAAGGCCUUCGGGUUGUAAAGCACUUUUGUUGGGGAAGAAAUCUCGCUGGUUAAUACUCGGCGAUGCUGACGGUACCCAAAGAAUAAGCACCGGCUAACUUCGUGCCAGCAGCCGCGGUAAUACGAAGGGUGCAAGCGUUACUCGGAAUUACUGGGCGUAAAGCGUGCGUAGGCGGUUUGUUAAGUCUGCUGUGAAAGCCCCGGGCUCAACCUGGGAACUGCAGUGGAUACUGGCAAGCUAGAGUGUGUCAGAGGAUGGUGGAAUUCCCGGUGUAGCGGUGAAAUGCGUAGAGAUCGGGAGGAACAUCAGUGGCGAAGGCGGCCAUCUGGGACAACACUGACGCUGAGGCACGAAAGCGUGGGGAGCAAACA
Molecule: ribosomal RNA, 427 nt
Filed under: uncultured Lysobacteraceae bacterium
Lineage: Bacteria; Pseudomonadati; Pseudomonadota; Gammaproteobacteria; Lysobacterales; Lysobacteraceae
Description: bacterial SSU rRNA
Rfam family: Bacterial small subunit ribosomal RNA
Source: RNAcentral